Small nuclear RNA from Dipodomys ordii (Ord's kangaroo rat), 110 nucleotides. The record is from Ensembl. Lineage: Eukaryota; Metazoa; Chordata; Mammalia; Rodentia; Heteromyidae.
AUGCACUUCUUUUCCCUGCAUUCACUACAAAAAUUGGGGAAAAAAUACAGAGAUUAGCAUGGCCCCCAUAUAAGGAUAGCAAGCAAAUUUAUGAAGCAUCCCAUGUAUUU